This 492-nucleotide ribosomal RNA is filed under the name uncultured bacterium. RNAcentral describes it as "partial 16S ribosomal RNA". It matches the Rfam family "Bacterial small subunit ribosomal RNA", at positions 29 to 507 of the family's 1533-position model. The record is from RNAcentral.
AGUGAACGCUGGCGGUAGGCCUAACACAUGCAAGUCGAACGGCAGCACAGUAAGAGCUUGCUCUUACGGGUGGCGAGUGGCGGACGGGUGAGGAAUACAUCGGAAUCUACUUUUUCGUGGGGGAUAACGUAGGGAAACUUACGCUAAUACCGCAUACGACCUACGGGUGAAAGCAGGGGAUCUUCGGACCUUGCGCGGUUGAAUGAGCCGAUGUCGGAUUAGCUGGUUGGCGGGGUAAAGGCCCACCAAGGCGACGAUCCGUAGCUGGUCUGAGAGGAUGAUCAGCCACACUGGAACUGAGACACGGUCCAGACUCCUACGGGAGGCAGCAGUGGGGAAUAUUGGACAAUGGGCGCAAGCCUGAUCCAGCCAUACCGCGUGGGUGAAGAAGGCCUUCGGGUUGUAAAGCCCUUUUGUUGGGAAAGAAAAGCAGCAGGUUAAUACCCCGCUGUUCUGACGGUACCCAAAGAAUAAGCACCGGCUAACUUCGUG